AUUGAACGCUGGCGGCAGGCCUAACACAUGCAAGUCGAACGAGUGGCGGACGGGUGAGUAAUGUCUGGGAAACUGCCUGAUGGAGGGGGAUAACUACUGGAAACGGUAGCUAAUACCGCAUACCAUCGGAUGUGCCCAGAUGGGCUUAGCUAGUGGGUGGGGUAAAGGCUCACCUAGGCCAAGAUCCCUAGCUGGUCUGAGAUGAUGACCAUCAACACGGGCACGGAGAGACGGUCCAGACUCCUACGGGAGGCUGCAGUGGGGAAUAUUGCACAAUGGGCGCAAGCCUGAUGCAGCCAUGCCGCGUGUAUGAAGAAGGCCUUCGGGUUGUAAAGUACUUUCAGCGGGGAGGCGUUACCUGCAGAAGAAGCACCGGCUAACUCCGUGCCAGCAGCCGCGGUAAUAC
This 406-nucleotide ribosomal RNA is filed under the name uncultured bacterium. RNAcentral describes it as "partial 16S ribosomal RNA". It matches the Rfam family "Bacterial small subunit ribosomal RNA", at positions 30 to 526 of the family's 1533-position model. The record is from RNAcentral.